RNAcentral lists this ribosomal RNA (445 nucleotides) under uncultured soil bacterium. RNAcentral describes it as "bacterial SSU rRNA". It matches the Rfam family "Bacterial small subunit ribosomal RNA", at positions 26 to 518 of the family's 1533-position model. The record is from RNAcentral.
AGAGCGAACGCUGGCGGCAGGCCUAACACAUGCAAGUCGAACGGACCCUUCGGGGUUAGUGGCGGACGGGUGAGUAACACGUGGGAACGUGCCUUUUGGUUCGGAAUAGCUCCUGGAAACGGGUGGUAAUGCCGAAUGUGCCCUUCGGGGGAAAGAUUUAUCGCCAUUAGAGCGGCCCGCGUCUGAUUAGCUAGUUGGUGAGGUAAUGGCUCACCAAGGCGACGAUCAGUAGCUGGUCUGAGAGGAUGACCAGCCACAUUGGGACUGAGACACGGCCCAAACUCCUACGGGAGGCAGCAGUGGGGAAUCUUGCGCAAUGGGCGAAAGCCUGACGCAGCCAUGCCGCGUGAAUGAUGAAGGUCUUAGGAUUGUAAAAUUCUUUACACCGGGACGAUAAUGACGGUACCGGAGAAGAACGCCCGGCUAACUUCGUGCCAGCAGCCGC